This 301-nucleotide ribosomal RNA is filed under the name uncultured bacterium. Its description in RNAcentral is "partial 16S ribosomal RNA". It matches the Rfam family "Bacterial small subunit ribosomal RNA", at positions 509 to 807 of the family's 1533-position model. The record is from RNAcentral.
CAGCAGCCGCGGGAAUACGUAGGGCGCAAGCGUUAUCCGGAAUUAUUGGGCGUAAAGAGCUCGUAGGCGGUUUGUCGCGUCUGCCGUGAAAGUCCGGGGCUCAACCCCGGAUCUGCGGUGGGUACGGGCAGACUAGAGUGAUGUAGGGGAGACUGGAAUUCCUGGUGUAGCGGUGAAAUGCGCAGAUAUCAGGAGGAACACCGAUGGCGAAGGCAGGUCUCUGGGCAUUAACUGACGCUGAGGAGCGAAAGCAUGGGGAGCGAACAGGAUUAGAUACCCGUGUAGUCCCUGUCUCUUAUAC